CGGCUUAGAGUUUGAUCCUGGCUCAGAUUGAACGCUGGCGGCAUGCUUUACACAUGCAAGUCGAACGGCAGCGGGGGCUUCGGCCUGCCGGCGAGUGGCGAACGGGUGAGUAAUGCAUCGGAACGUACCCAGUCAUGGGGGAUAACUACGCGAAAGCGUAGNUAAUACCGCAUACGCCCUGAGGGGGAAAGCGGGGGAUCUUCGGACCUCGCGCGGACGGAGCGGCCGAUGGCAGAUUAGGUAGUUGGUGGGAUAAAAGCUUACCAAGCCGACGAUCUGUAGCUGGUCUGAGAGGAUGAUCAGCUACACUGGGACUGAGACACGGCCCAGACUCCUACGGGAGGCAGCAGUGGGGAAUUUUGGACAAUGGGCGAAAGCCUGAUCCAGCCAUGCCGCGUGCAGGAUGAAGGCCUUCGGGUUGUAAACUGCUUUUGUACGGAACGAAAAGCCUCUUCCUAAUA
This 461-nucleotide ribosomal RNA is filed under the name uncultured bacterium. Its description in RNAcentral is "SSU rRNA". It matches the Rfam family "Bacterial small subunit ribosomal RNA", at positions 1 to 465 of the family's 1533-position model. The record is from RNAcentral.